This 254-nucleotide ribosomal RNA is filed under the name uncultured bacterium. RNAcentral describes it as "partial 16S ribosomal RNA". It matches the Rfam family "Bacterial small subunit ribosomal RNA", at positions 524 to 776 of the family's 1533-position model. The record is from RNAcentral.
CACGUAGGGGGCGAGCGUUGUCCGGAAUCAUUGGGCGUAAAGAGCUCGUAGGCGGCUCAGUAAGUCGGGUGUGAAACCCCCAGGCUCAACCUGGGGACGCCACCCGAUACUGCUGUGGCUAGAGUCCAGUAGGGGAGUGUGGAAUUCCCGGUGUAGCGGUGAAAUGCGCAGAUAUCGGGAGGAACACCAGCGGCGAAGGCGGCACUCUGGGCUGGUACUGACGCUGAGGAGCGAAAGCGUGGGUAGCAAACAGG